RNAcentral lists this signal recognition particle RNA (98 nucleotides) under Planctomycetota bacterium. Its description in RNAcentral is "Planctomycetes bacterium (bioreactor metagenome) signal recognition particle sRNA small type". It matches the Rfam family "Bacterial small signal recognition particle RNA". From Rfam's summary of the family: The signal recognition particle (SRP) is a universally conserved ribonucleoprotein involved in the co-translational targeting of proteins to membranes. Archaeal SRP consists of a 7S RNA and homologues of the eukaryotic SRP19 and SRP54 proteins. The record is from RNAcentral. Lineage: Bacteria; Pseudomonadati; Planctomycetota.
GGUCCGGUCGUCGGCGAUGGCUCCCGUUCGAACCGGGUCAGGCCGGGAACGGAGCAGCCCUAAGGAUGCGGCGUCAUGUGCACGUCGCCCGGGCCCAC